CGUGUAGCCGGGUCGGUAAGUCAGAUGUGAAAUCUACGGGCUCAACUCGUAAACUGCAUUUGAAACUGCUGAUCUUGAGUAUCGGAGAGGCAAUCGGAAUUCCUAGUGUAGCGGUGAAAUGCGUAGAUAUUAGGAGGAACACCAGUGGCGAAGGCGGAUUGCUGGACGAUAACUGACGCUGAGGCGCGAAAGCGUGGGAGCAAACA
Molecule: ribosomal RNA, 206 nt
Filed under: uncultured bacterium
Lineage: Bacteria
Description: partial 16S ribosomal RNA
Rfam family: Bacterial small subunit ribosomal RNA
Source: RNAcentral